This 515-nucleotide ribosomal RNA is filed under the name uncultured bacterium. RNAcentral's name for it is "bacterial SSU rRNA". It matches the Rfam family "Bacterial small subunit ribosomal RNA", at positions 9 to 526 of the family's 1533-position model. The record is from RNAcentral.
GAGUUUGAUCCUGGCUCAGGAUGAACGCUGGCGGCGUGCCUAACACAUGCAAGUCGAACGAAGCACCUUUUGAGAUUCUUCGGAUGAUCGAUCGGUGACUGAGUGGCGGACGGGUGAGUAACGCGUGGGUAACCUGCCCUGUACAGGGGGAUAACAGCUGGAAACGGCUGCUAAUACCGCAUAAGCGCACGAGGAGACAUCUCCUAGUGUGAAAAACUCCGGUGGUACAGGAUGGGCCCGCGUCUGAUUAGCUGGUUGGCAGGGUAACGGCCUACCAAGGCGACGAUCAGUAGCCGGUCUGAGAGGAUGAACGGCCACAUUGGAACUGAGACACGGUCCAAACUCCUACGGGAGGCAGCAGUGGGGAAUAUUGCACAAUGGGCGAAAGCCUGAUGCAGCGACGCCGCGUGAGCGAAGAAGUAUUUCGGUAUGUAAAGCUCUAUCAGCAGGGAAGAUAAUGACGGUACCUGACUAAGAAGCACCGGCUAAAUACGUGCCAGCCGCCGCGGUAAUAC